Oncorhynchus masou masou (cherry salmon) is the source of this 1199-nucleotide long non-coding RNA. RefSeq lists it as uncharacterized. The transcript is spliced from 3 exons. Lineage: Eukaryota; Metazoa; Chordata; Actinopteri; Salmoniformes; Salmonidae. The record is from RefSeq and is a predicted model, not a curated record.
AGGUGGGGUGAAUGAUGUUGUGCCAGGCUUUUUUUGCUAUACUCAACUUGAGUGGGUUGAGUCACUGAUGUGAUCUUGCUGUCUGUUUUUGCGCAGUGGGGAAGAUCUUCGUGGGCUAUACUCAGCCUUGUCUCAAUGGGAUCUAUCCACUGCCUUCGACGCAUGAACCAUCAAAUCCUCCUCUCUACCCUAUCAGGGCUGGGCGUGUCAAGCGCUGCACACUCUUGGAUUGCAUCCUACCUGGCAGGCCGCUCCUACCAGGUGGCGACGUGCAUCUCUACAGGCCUGCCUGAUAUCUCAGCUUGGAUGUCGGCCCACCACCUCUAGCUCAAUCUCGACAAGACUGAGCUACCCUUCCUCCCGGGGAAGGCCUGCCUACUCAAAGACCUCUCCAUCUUCACCGUGUCGCCCUCCCAGAGUGUGAAGAACCUUGGUGUGACUCUGGACAACACCCUGUUGUUCUCUGCAAACAUCAAAGCAGUGACUCCUGCAGGUUUAUGCUCUAGAGUACAACACUACCUCCCACAGAAAGUAGAGCAGGUCCUAAUCCAGGCAUUUCUCAUUUCCGUCUGGACAAUUGCAACUUGCUGUUGGCUGAGCUCCCCACUUCUGUCUUCAAACCCCUGCGACCUAUCCACAAGACUGCAUCUUGUCUGGUUUCAGGCAUUUGCAGUAGCUUUUGAAAGUUCCUCAGGUGCUCCUUUUCGUUCUGGCCUGUGAUUAACAGAUCAUCCAAGUAAGCAACUAGAUUAAGACCUUUCAUCAGAUUUUCCUCAGGUUUGAUUAGGAUAGUUGCUUUAAUGUCUAUCUCGUUCUUGAAAACUUCAGCAUGCAUCACCAACACUUCCUGAAUAGAUUUAGCAUUUUCAAGCAUUUAUUUAAGUUGUACUCACAUGCUUAAUUUGUUUCCAGUUCAGCUUUUGUAACCAGUUCCUUCCACAUAAAGCUGGUCCAGAACAUUUAACAACUAUGAGUGGUAGAUCCUCACUUUGAUCCUCAUAGCUCAGUUUUACAGUAAACUGUCCCAUUACAGCAAUGUUCUGUCCUGUAUAAGUCUUUAGGUUGAUGGCUGCAUCCUCUAGUGGCAGAUGUGGAAAUACACUCAUACAGUUCAUGUGAAAUUAUGCUGACUGUAGUGAUGCACGGGUUGACCUAUGUGGUUAUGACAAUGACGGGCGGGUAGGUGGUGGGCGGAUUGA